GGGCCGGUAGAUCAGUGGUAGAUCGCGUCCUUGGCAUGGACGAGGCCGCGGGUUCAAUUUCCGCCCGGUCCAC
This 73-nucleotide transfer RNA is filed under the name bioreactor metagenome. RNAcentral describes it as "tRNA-Ala". It matches the Rfam family "tRNA". From Rfam's summary of the family: Transfer RNA (tRNA) molecules are approximately 80 nucleotides in length. Their secondary structure includes four short double-helical elements and three loops (D, anti-codon, and T loops). Further hydrogen bonds mediate the characteristic L-shaped molecular structure. tRNAs have two regions of fundamental functional importance: the anti-codon, which is responsible for specific mRNA codon recognition, and the 3' end, to which the tRNAs corresponding amino acid is attached (by aminoacyl-tRNA synthetases). tRNAs cope with the degeneracy of the genetic code in two manners: having more than one tRNA (with a specific anti-codon) for a particular amino acid; and 'wobble' base-pairing, i.e. permitting non-standard base-pairing at the 3rd anti-codon position. The record is from RNAcentral.